GUCUAGUGGGAUAUCGGGUAUCCGUCCGAAGGUUGUUUAAAUAUUAGUUAUAUAUCAUGUGUACAUAUAUAGUCAUUAAAGUUCUUCCAUAUUCUUACGUACCAGUUACAUCAUUAGUAAGUUACCAUAUGGGUAGCACAGGAUAACACUUAUACUAUUACUAGAACAAUGAGAUGUUCAAUGAGCCCGGUCAUUCAUGAGUCAGUACUUAUUACUAUGAGAACAUAUACAACUAUACUAGAAGAAGAACAUAUACAACUAUACUAGAAAGAGAACAUAUACCACUAUACUAGAAAGAGAACAUAUACAACUAUACUAGAAAGAGAACAUAUACAAUGAUACUAGAACGAGUNGAGUUGUAGCCAGAAUUCUCUUGGAGGGAGAGCGUGAGUUUGCGUAUAGAUCUAUAUUGGAUUGACUAUCCUACACCUUGCUGCUAGCAACAGCCGAACCUGCAGGUCUGCGGGUGCCAAACGUCAUUUCUUUUAUUACGACCAUUCAUUAUGUCGUUGUUACCAGUCGAUAGCAUGGUGCAAUUUAUCACAUUAUGCCUUAAUAUAAAUCCGGUUUAAGGUAGUAGUAUUUAGUACAGCAGUAGUCUUAUUAUACAAAGCUACAGUACUACAAUGAUUUACCCAUUACAUAUUUUAGUGAUAAUCUCACUUAAGCAUUAGUGUACAAACUAUAUUUUUAACAAAUGAUAGUUAUACUUGGGUAAUUACACACUUUUACAACAGACAAGUUUACAAAACAGUUUAGCCUUGGUAGAAGGUUACUUUUAUAGAAAAUAUAGGAUUUUCUGAGAGAUUCAAACUUUUACAAACACUUUCAAACAUUUGCUUAAAUUUUUACAAACUUAUACAUUGAGACAGGUUCAAACGUUUUUACAAGAAACAUUGACACUAAAAUACUUAUGAACUCACCAGCUUAAUGCUGAUAAACUCUUUCAAAAUAACUUGUAUUCUCAGGUCAUCAGUAGACAGGUACCGAGGCCAGCUUUUGAGAAGAUGGAGUGCAUUCAAGACUCAUCUCAUAUUAUUUUGUGUUUCAUUAUUUUUGGUGUCUAUAACUGUACAGAACACACUUGUAUUAAAAUUAUAUAUUUAAUGCAAUGGAUGAUGUUGUUUGCUUAUUUACAUUUACUGUGUUGUGAUACUCUACAUGACGUCCUCCGCCCCAGAACGUUUCCGCCGUUCUUGGUUUUGGGGUGUGACAGAUUGGUAUCAGAGCAUUGUUUAUAGUGAAUUGAGUAUAUCAACCCAUAAAAGAUAUACUAACUAUAAACCCAUUUGGGAUUAAAACACUCUGACCAAGAGUCUAUACUUUAAAUAUUAAAAUAUUUAAUUAAGUAUACUAGUCUGCAUUCAUACUAAAAUCAGUGUCACAAUGACAAGAACAAAAGUAUUACGAUUGUUAAAUAUCACAAGUGAGCUCGGGGAUGUAUGGUCAGUCCUGGGAAUGGCAUAGCCUGAUCAACUAUGAUGGUCCGAGGAGUGAUUAGCAUAUGCCCUAGAAUGGUUGUGAUAUGUUAACAACUCUAAAAACUUACCAACAAUACCACAAGGAGAUCAGUAGAACCUAAACUUAAAAUACUCUAGGGGUAUUUUGUGCUACUACAAACUACUUAUAUACUAAAUUCUUAUACCUGUCAUCUCGCGUAGAUUUAAAUGGCUGGAUUCCAUCAUGGCGACCCGUACUUCCCAAAUGAAGGCAAUGCUGGGUGGAUCGAAGAAGAGCCUGAAGAUGAGCAUCCAAUUCCUUUCGAUGAUCACCUCGCAGAAGGCUUUUUCUGAUGGAUCUGACUCUGAACCUGAAGUCAACAACCUACCGCCAGUAGGUCAAGCCCCAGGUCCCACACCCUUGUGGGCAACCAACUUGAAUCGCUGGAGUGACGAACAGGGUCAACCCUUACCUUAUUUUGGGGACCAAAGCUUUUACAACCUCAGCGAAGGUGGUUCUGCGGAUCGAGCUCUGUCCGUCAUUGUCCGCAUAAUAGCUUGUAAUGUUGAGAAAGGUCGAGCAGCCAUCGACCGGGUCAUGGAGAUUGAUGCCAACUCUGGUGUCAACACAGUCCGCAUCCGCCGUCUUGAAGAAGAAAUAGAAAGGACCAGGAGAACCAAUGAAACCCUGCAUAAACAGUUGACUGCCUCCCAAGCCGAAGUCAUGGAAUUUUGAGCCCGUCAGAGGGCUCAUGAGCGACACCUUCAAGAGGUGGUUCGUCAAGUGACAGACCUCAGGGUUCGCCCGAGGAAUUCCCAUUGCCGUUAGAAGAUGUCUAGUACAUCUUUGUCUUUUGGUUAAGGAAUAGCCUUUAGUAUCUGUGCUCUAAGUAGCACUUGUCUGUAAAAUAUUCCUAACUUUCAGUACUCUAAUUAGGAAUCUAGGAACUGUCAAACUUUUCCGUAUGGUAUGAUGUAAGACCUACUGAUAGGUCGAUUUUCUCUGAACUUAUUACAUCAGUAAUACCGGUAUUAUUGACAACUACCUAAUCUAUGGAAAAAUAUGUACACUUGUGUUUUCCUACUAUUCUUCUAUGUUGUGAUCUCAAGACACUCAUUCAACUGUUCGGCUAUGGUUAGUUAGUCCAUGUGUCACUCUCACCCCACUUACAAUUGAUUCUUACCAUUGUGUUUACCUUUAUAAACUUUCAACAGAAAGAUGCCUCCUCGCAAAUCUCCCAGACAUAACCCUGCACNUCCUCCUCCUCUAGUCAUCGAUAUUGCAGCCCUAAAUGCUACAGUAGCAGCAGCAGUGGAAACUACCAUGGCUCAGUAUCACUCUACUGAUGCCAGCAGAGGUGGAACCCCUGGUGACUCAAUUCCUGCUGAAAUCCCUGUGCGCUCGAGAGAGUGCUCCUAUUAGGACUUCACCAACUGCAAGCCAAAGUCCUUCAAGGGAACUGGCGCAGUCAUUGCCUUCUUGCAAUGGUUCGAGAAGAUUGAAUCAGUCUUCGAAAUUGGUUCGUGCCCUGCUGCGAGCAAAGUCAAAUACAUCGCAUGCACCUUUGAAGAAAAAGCCCUGACGUGGUGGACCGGCCAUGCUAAAGCACUAACUCUUGUAGUGGAAAAUGACAUGGGUUGGGAAACCAUGAAGGACCUCAUGAUCGAGGAAUACUGCCCAAGGGGUGAGAUCCAGAAAUUGGAGCAGGAGCUGUGGAGCCUAACCAUGAAGGGCUCCAACAUAGUCGCAUAUACCGCCAGAUUCAGCAAACUGGUCGCCCUAUGCCCCAAUAUGGUUCCCACUGAAGGGAAAAAGAUCGAGAGGUACAUAUGGGGGCUAGUGCCUCCGUAUCAGGGAAAUGUCCUAUCAUCAAACCCUGCUACCUUCGACAGUGCUAAGCGAUUGGCACAGCGACUCAUUGACCAUGGAGUCAAAGCCCCAGCAGCAACAACAACCCUAGCCAUCUCAGAACCCUCCAAACCCGCUGACACUAAGCGGAAGUUCUAGGAUGAGAAGAAGAAACAGCGAGCUGCCAAAAAGCAGCAAAUUGUGGUUGUGCAUGCCGCAAUAACCCCUGCUGUUGCUACUGCUCCGAUGAGGCAGUAUGCUGAAAGUUUGCCUAAGUGCAACAAACGCAACUUCCACCACAACGGCCCCUGCCGUGAAAUGCAGUGCUCUAACUGCAUCAAGAAAGGACACACAGUCCGUUUCUGUAAAUCUCUGGCGAGGCCGAUCACCCAAGUCCCCGGCACUGGCGUGAGCCAGGCUUGCUAUGGAUGUGGCGAGGCGGGCCACUAUAAGAGGCACUGCCCCAAAGCAAAGAAUGCUAGCGGAGCAAGGAGAGUACUAGCAAUAGGCCACGGGGAAGCAAUUGCUGACCCGACGGUGGUGACUGGUACGUUCCUCCUCGAUAACUCCUAUGCAUGCAUUAUGUUCGAUAGUGGAGCGGAGCGAAGGUUCGUGAACCAUAAAUUUGCUCGCAUGCUUAAACAACAACCACACACACUUAAAGAACACUUCACGGUAGAAAUGGCUAAUGGAAAAACUGAAAGCACAAAUAGCAUAUACUUAGGUUGUACCCUAACUCUAGAUAACCAUUCAUUCCCAAUCGACUUUAUGCCAGUCUCGAUUAAAAGCUUUGACAUUAUCAUCGGCAUGGACUGGUUGAGUCAUCGUCGCGCCGACAUCAUGUGCUACAAGAAAGCAGUCCGUCUAAACCUCCCGUAUGACGAAUCCCUUGUCGUCUACGGCGACAAACCCGGUGCGAGUCUUCAUAUUAUAUCAAGUAUUCAAGCACAGAACUAUCUACGUAAAGAAUACCAUGAAUUCCUUGCUCACGUUGUCGAUACGAGCCUCGAAACGAAAGAAUUAAAGAACAUUCCAGUAGUGAGCGACUUUCCCGACAUCUUUCCGGAAGAGCUACCAGGAAUACCUCCACAACGACAGGUCGAGUUCAGAAUCGACUUAGUCCCAGGAGCUACCCCAGUAGCCUAGUCGCCCUACCGAUUAGCACCAGCAGAGAUGCAGGAACUAUCUGGUCAACUUAACGAACUGCUCAGCAAGGGCUUUAUAAGAACAAGUUUCUCGCCUUAGGGAGCACCGGUCUUGUUCGUUAAGAAGAAAGACGGAUCAUUCCGUAUGUGCAUCAACUAUAGAGAACUCAACAAACUGACGGUCAAGAAUCGUUACCCUCUGCCUCGCAUAGACGAUCUAUUUGACCAACUGCAAGUGGCAAACUACUUUUCAAAAAUUGAUCUAAGAUCCAGAUAUCACCAGUUACGAGUGCUACGAUAAAGCAGUCCGUCUAAACCUCCCGUCAAACGAAACCCUUGUCGUCUAUGGUGACAAACCUGGUGCGAGUCUUCAUAUUAUAUCAAGUAUUCAAGCACAGAAAUAUCUACGUAAAGAAUACCAUGUAUUCCUUGCUCACGUUGUCGAUACGAGCCUCGAAACGAAAGAAUUAAAGAACAUUCCAGUAGUGAGCGACUUUCCAGACAUCUUUCUAGAAGAGCUACCAGGAUUACCUCUGCAACGACAGGUCGAGUUUAGAAUCGACUUAGUCCCAGGAGCUACCCCAGUAGCCUACUCCCCCUACCAAUUAGCACCAGCAUAGAUGCAGGAACUAUCUGGUCAACUUAACGAACUGCUCAGCAAGGGCUUUAUAAGACCAAGUUUCUCGCCUUGGGGAGCACCGAUCUUGUUCGUUAAGAAGAAAGACGGAUCAUUCCGUAUGUGCAUCGACUACAGAGAACUCAACAAACUGACGGUCAAGAAUUGUUACCCUCUGCCUCGCAUAGACGAUCUAUUUGACCAACUGCAAGGGGCGAACUACUUUUCCAAAAUUGAUCUAAGAUUCGGAUAUCACCAGUUAUGAGUGCUAGAGGAGGAUGUUCCAAAGAUAGCCUUCUGAACUCGUUACGGACACUACGAGUUCGUGGUGAUGCCAUUCGGAUUGACCAAUGUGCCCGCAGUUUUCAUGGAUCUAAUGAAUAGAUUAUGCCGACCUUACUUGGAUCAGUUCGUCAUCGUCUUCAUUGAUGACAUCCUGAUCUACUCCCGAAGUAAGGAAGAGCAUGGCGAUCACCUGCGACAAGUUCUAGGAACUUGACGAACGGAGAANGAAGUUCUCGAAAUGUGAAUUUUGGAUCCGAAGAGUCGAAUUCUUAGGACACGUGGUAAGCGAAGAGGGAAUCCACGUGGACCCAUCCAAAAUUAAGGCCAUUGAGAACUGGUCAGCACCGAAGACGCCAACAGAAAUUCGUCAAUUUCUAGGUCUUGCUGGCUACUACUGCAGGUUCAUACAGAACUUCUCCUGAAUUGCGAAACCUCUUACAACACUGACCCAGAAAGGCGUGGCCUUUGACCUGGAAGAGAAACAGGAGAGAGCGUUCCAAACGCUCAACCGAGCCUUAUGCACCGCACCAAUACUACCCCUCCCCGAAGGGAUAGAAGACUUCGUUGUCUAUUGCGACGCGUCAAAUCAUGGGCUCGGUUGUGUUCUGAUGCAACGGGGUAAGCUCAUCGCCUACGCCUCGAAACAGAUGAAGACACACGAAUUUAACUACACCACACACGAUCUUGAGCUGGGAGCAGUUGUGUUUGCCCUGAAGAUCUGGAGACAUUACUUGUACGGAACGGAAAGCACUAUCUUUACCGACCACAAGAGUGUACAGCACAUAUUCGAUCAGAAGGAGCUCAACAUGCGACAACGACGGUGGGUCGAGCUACUCAAUGACUACGAAUGCGAUAUUCGUUAUCAUCCGGGUAAAGCCAACGUAGUAGAAGACACCCUAAGUCAGAAGGAAUAUUCUGGUCGAAGAGUCAAGUCAUUGAUGAUGACUAUCCAAUCACACUUGUCUAAGCAAAUUCAGGCGGCCCAGCUUGAUGCCAUGAAACCUGAAAACGUGACGAGUGAAUCCCUUAGAGGAAUGGAUAAAAAUUUAGAAGCCAAGGGUGGCGGAGCCUUAUAUUUCAUGAACCGGAUCUGGACACCGAAACACGGUGGUUUCCGAGACUUGGUCAUGACCGAGGCGCACAACACUCGGUAUUCCGUCCACCCAGGUUCAGAUAAGAUGUAUCUGGAUCUUAAAAAGUUAUACUGGUGGCCUAAUAUGAAAGCAUAGAUUGCUACCUUCGUAAGUAAAUGCCUUACUUGCGCAAAGGUUAAGGUCGAGUACCAGAAGCCCUCCGGUUUACUACAACAACCAGGGAUUCCAUAAAGGAAGUGGGAGCGGGUGGACUUGAUACCAUAUGGGUCAUCGUCGAUAGAUUGACCAAGUCUGCAUACUUCCUGCCUAUCAAAGAAACUAACAAGAUGGAGAAGAUUACGAUGACAUACAUUAGGGAAAUCGUACGGCUGCAUGGUGUUCCUAUAUCCAUUAUCUCCGAUAGAGAUAGUAGGUUCACCUCAAGAUUCUGGCAAUCGCUACAACAUUCCCUGGGAACAAGGAUGGACAUGAGCACGACCUACCAUCCACAAAUCANCAGACCGACGGACAAAGUGAGAGGACCAUCCAAACACUGGAAGAUAUGUUGAGAGCCUGUGUGAUUGACUUUGGAAAGGCAUGGGAUACUCACUUACCCCUUGUCGAAUUUUCCUACAAUAACAGUUAUCACACGGGCAUCAAGGCUGCUCCAUUUGAAGCCCUCUACGACCGAAAGUGCAGAUCCCCUCUAUGUUGGGCUGAGGUGGGUGAUACCCAAUUAGCUAGGGGGCAAGCUUCUGACAAUACUCUCACCGGUCCGGAGAUCAUUCGGGAAACGACGGAGAAAAUCGUUCAGAUUCGUGAACGAUUGAAAGCCUCUAGAGACCGACAGAAGAUCUACGCUGAUAAGCGAAGGAAAACUUUGGAAUUCCAGGUGGGAGACCGAGUCCUUCUUAAAGUCUUACCCUGGAAGGGCUUAAUAUGCUUCGGUAAGCGUGGGAAGCUUAAUCCGAGAUAUAUAGGGCCUUUCGAGAUUCUCGCAAGAAUCGGCCCUGUAGCUUACAAACUCAAUCUACUCGACGAACUUCGUAACAUACAUUCUACAUGCCACGUCUCUAACUUGAAAAAGUGUCUGUCCGAUGAGACUCUUGUAAUCCCACUCGACGAGAUCAAGAUCAACGAGAGCCUCAACUUCGUGGAAGAACCAAUAGAGAUCAUGGACCGUGAGGUCAAGCAGACGAAGCAAAGUCGUAUCCCGAUUGUGAAGGUUCGCUGGAAUGCCAAGCGAGGACCGGAAUUCACUUGGGAGCGUGAGGACCAGAUGAAUCUGAAAUAUUCUCAUCUUUUUGCUUAGUUAUUUGUAACUACUUUAUUUGUUUAAGACUUUAAUUUCGGGACGAAAUUCCCUUUAACAGGGGGAUGAUGUGACAACCCGGAAUUUUCAUUCGGUUAAACCCUAAAAGUCAACCACUUCUUAUUAUAAGUUCAUGUCAUUAUUUCUUAUUUUAACAAAUUUGAAGUUCGUUUGAAUAUUUUAAUAUUAUUUUUAAACGAACGAGUGAAAGAAAGUGUCGUCUCGGGUUUUGAAUUUUAAAAACCGCAAACACCUCGCGUCUUAGAAAUUCCCGACCAAACUUUUAUGUUUGGGUUGAAAACUCUCACAAAAACCAUGAACUCAUGCAUAUGUAUGAGUUUACUCCCCAAGACUAGUCAUUCUUGUGUUUACUCCCCAAAUACCAAAAGAGUAAACUCCAAAAUAUCCUCUCAAGUAUCAUCCUAAAACUUAUUCAAGAUCUUCAAACUUGUAAGUGUUCUAACCAUUUCAAGUUGGUAUAACACUUAAUCUAGUGUUUGUGCAUCUAUUCAUCCAUUCAUUUAUGUAUUUUGUCUAGAUUUCCAAAAACACCAAGAACACACACUAAGUGUUCUUGGACUUUUAGCUCAAAUCAAGCUUCAUUAUAGUAAGUACUUCCAUCUUUAAGACUUAUUAGGCUAGUAUUACAUGUUAGCAUCAAGAAAUAUGUCAAGAACACAAGGAAUAUAGUGUUCACGGUCCAAGAAUGUUCUUGGGCUGUAAACACCAAGAAAGGCACCAAAGUGUGCCUAAGCCCUUAUCUAAGCCCUAGUUUGAUGUUUAAGCCUUCCUUGACAAUUACCUAGAAUGUUCUUUAUGGGCCUUACUCCUUCCUUAGGCCUAAAAACUAACCUAGACAAUUACCUUGUUGUGUUAAGGACUUGAAAACAUGGGAAUACCCUUUCCUAUAUGGUUUUAUGAUAGUAAACCCAAAGGAAAAUGACCAUGAGGCCGUAAACUCCUCAAAGGGGGUGUUUUGUUGCCCUAGUUCCUUCUAAAGGCCAAUCCACCAAGUAGAAAUGUUUUAAAAGACUUGUAAAACCACAAAACAACAUAGGGUCAUAAGGAGUAGAGUUUACGACCGUAAACCCUUGAGUUUACUAUCGUAAACUCCUUGGGUAAUGGUCACUAAAACCGUAAACUCCAAAGGAGUUUACCCUUGAACUCCAAACACUCUAGCUUUGCCCUACAAACACUUGGAUGCAACCCUUGUGGUCUUUAACACUUGAAACAAAGUGUUUUCAUGUUCUAGAGUGUCCCAACUUAAUUUAUUAGUUAUAAAUUGGCUAAUUAUAUAUAUAUAUAUAUAUAUAUGUUCAUUAUAUGAUAACUAGGCUCGUGCGUGUGUACAAGUCUCCGUUUGUCACCUAGCAUCGUAUCCGAUACUUCAUUCCAAUCCACUCACUGCAAGUGAGUUCAUACCCCUGUAACUAACCUUUGAAAUACUUUUAAAUGUUUUAAAUGCUUUUAUGGGGGGAGGUGGGGGGGAUAAAAGUUGAACACUUAUAGUUAUUACAUCAAUCACAUGUGAUUAAUAACUAAAAAACCAAUGAUUUUAUUACUGUUCAAACUGUUUAUCAAAUUGUUUUACUUCAAACUGUUUUACAAAUUCUUUUACCUAUCAAAUACUUUUACUUAAACCCUGUUAUACUUAUUAUAAAUUGCAUGCCCAUAUAUGUAUAGUUAUACAAGCAAUGUUUAAAAGGCUUAGGAAGGUCGCCCGCCCUAUUUCCUUUUCGCGCUUGAGAUGUGGUCUGGUGGGAUAUCAGGUAUCCGUCCGAAGGUUGUUUAAAUAUUAGUUAUAUAUCAUGUGUACAUAUAUAGUCAUUAAAGUUCUUCCAUAUUCUUACGUACCAGUUACAUCAUUAGUAAGUUACCAUAUGGGUAGCACAGGAUAAUACUUAUACUAUUACUAGAACAAUGAGAUGUUCAAUGAGCCCGUUCAUUCAUGAGUCAGUACUUAUUACUAUGAGAACAUAUACAACUAU
This 9707-nucleotide long non-coding RNA is filed under the name Lactuca sativa (garden lettuce). Its description in RNAcentral is "long non-coding RNA (LSAT_LNC006695)". The record is from RNAcentral. Lineage: Eukaryota; Viridiplantae; Streptophyta; Magnoliopsida; Asterales; Asteraceae.